Camelina sativa (false flax) is the source of this 678-nucleotide non-coding RNA. NCBI's taxonomy places the organism in Eukaryota, Viridiplantae, Streptophyta, Magnoliopsida, Brassicales, Brassicaceae. The record is from RefSeq and is a predicted model, not a curated record.
AAAGCCUUUUCUAUUUUUGUGCUUCUUCUUCUGCCGUAAUUCAUCUCUCUCUCUCUCUCUCUCUCUCUCUCUCUCUCACAGAAUCCAAAUUCACCCUUUGAAAUUCCGACUAUGAGCGAGCUUGUUGCUGGUGGGUUCGAGAUCGGCGAUGAUUGGAUCUCGCCUUGCUAAGAAGGCGACAACUAAAAAGCAGUACAGCCGGUCUCCUGUUCCCCAUUGGCCGAUUAGCUCGAUUUCGUAAGAAGGACGAGUACGCCGAACGUGUUGGUGUCGUAGCUUGGAUUUAGCUAGCCGCCGAGAUCUGUGUAAGUUAUGGAAUUGACUGGAAACACAGAGAGGGAUAACAAGAAGACUAUGAUUGUGUCACUUCACUUUCAGCUUGCGGUGAGAAACGAUGGGGAGCUGUGUGAGUUGGUUGGUGAUGUGACGAAUUCUAAUGGAGGUGUGAUGACUAACAUUCACAAUCUUCUUCUCCUCCUUCCUCAAUCGCCGUUCCUCAGCUCUCAUUCUCUUCAAAGACUAAAAUUCACAAUCAAGCCAAGCCAAGUUCUUAUUUAGGUCAAUGGAGAUGGAAAGUAUGAGCGGAUAGGUCAACAAGCCUUUGGUGGAGGUUCUUACCAAGAAGAGUGUUGUCUUUUCCCCAUCCUUCGUCCGGUUGUUCAUGCAUGAGGUUUUAGU